Long non-coding RNA from Fukomys damarensis (Damara mole-rat), 1009 nucleotides. RefSeq lists it as uncharacterized. Lineage: Eukaryota; Metazoa; Chordata; Mammalia; Rodentia; Bathyergidae. The record is from RefSeq and is a predicted model, not a curated record. The transcript is spliced from 3 exons.
UGCCAGGGGUGACCACAGACUGAAACCUCUGCAACUGUGGACCAAAAUAAACCCUCCUUUAAACUGUUUAUCAGUAUUUGUCACAAUAACCAAGAGCUGACUAACACACAGAUUAACAACAGAUUAACAACAGAAAACAGAAAGUCUAGAACAGCGCAACAAACAUGGAAACAGACAGGAAAGGAAGGACCGAUGAAAAGUUAGCUGAAAAAAUUACAGUAAUCCACAAGGAAAACUGAACUUGGAUUCCCAUACUCAAAGAUCAACUCAUGAUUGGUCUCGAAUUCUUCGGCUCAAGUGAUCCUGUCACCUCAACGUCCAGAGAAACGUGCAGCAUACCCAACCUUAGUGUUACUUCUUUUCCUCAUGACUUAUCUUAUUUGAAGCUUGCAUUUCUUUAAUUAAUAAUGACGUUAUCCCAUUUAUUGGCCAUUUGAAUUUCUUCCCAUGAUUUUCUUCGUACAUAUCCUCAGCUUAUCAUUUCUAAUCCUGAAGAGAAGCUGCUAGUCUCUAACCUGUCUCAUGUUCAGCCUAAAGGAUGGCAGAGGCCAACCAGAAUGUCUUUCCCUGCCGAUCGAAGGACAGAGAAGCACCUUUCCUUCCUAGUUGCAAAAUUACAAGGAGAUAGACCUGGACCUGCCAGCACCCAUGCUUGUGACAGAAGAGAUAAGGCCCUUGGCAGACAAGCUGACACACAAAGGGAAGGGAACAUGAGCAAUGGACAUGGAGCGCCAGCAGAGCUGAAGGCCCUGACUUUGCUGUCUCCAAGGUCAGCAUUAUCUGUACUCUUCUCAUGGUUUGGGUCUCUUUCCUACUGAUGCUGAUCUGAACUGGGAUUCUACCACUUGAAUUAACUCAGAGGGGUAAAAAGGCCUGUAAAAGUUCCAAGCAGCCUUUCAGGGCUGUUCUUAAGUACCAGGAAAGCAAAUUAUCAAAUAAGCAAUAAUAAAGCAGUUCAGUUUAGAGAUGAAUGCACUUGAAGUUGUUCCAAGGACAGAGUGGGCUCCUU